UCCCCUCUAUUGCAGUUUCAUAUGCAAAGCAUGCAUCAGCCACAUCCAUGCUAUCUCUUAAAGCAGUCAUUCUGAAACCCAAUCUGGGGAUAGUGCAGACUAAAUAAAAUUUCAUUUUGAUUUGGCCUCCUGCUGAGAAUGGGACUGCUUUGUUUCAGCCGACAGAACCAGCAAGCCAGAAAGGUCUUGUUUCAAAAAUACAGAAGCUGUUUCUGACCUAAUUGAUCAAAAAUGCUUUUCUUCUGGAAACAGUGCAAAAUGUCUUCUUUUCAAGGCAAAUGACUGUGGGGACUGGUGAGAGAGACAAAGAAAGGGUCAUUGUGGUGAAGGAAAUAUUUUUAUCUAGGCUUCAGGAAACGGUGGUCUGGCUAGUGACUGCAGUGCUGUGGACAGUUACACGCACAGUAUUCACCCAGGGCAAAGCAUGCCAUCACUUAUGUCUGCCCCUAAACUCCUGGACUACAAGAACUAAUGUCAAUAUCCACCUGG
RNAcentral lists this long non-coding RNA (489 nucleotides) under Manacus vitellinus (golden-collared manakin). RNAcentral describes it as "lncRNA (ENSMVIG00005017321.1)". The record is from RNAcentral. Lineage: Eukaryota; Metazoa; Chordata; Aves; Passeriformes; Pipridae.